UACAGGGGGUGCAAACGUUGCUCGGAAUCAUUGGGCGUAAAGCGCACGUAGGCGGUUCGUUAUGUCGGAUGUGAAAGCCCUUGGCUUAACCGAGGAAGUGCAUCCGAAACUGGCAAGCUAGAGUACUAAAGAGGGUUGCGGAAUUCCCGGUGUAGAGGUGAAAUUCGUAGAUAUCGGGAGGAACACCGGUGGCGAAGGCGGCGACCUGGGUAGAUACUGACGCUGAGGUGCGAAAGCGUGGGGAGCAAACAGG
Molecule: ribosomal RNA, 253 nt
Filed under: uncultured bacterium
Lineage: Bacteria
Description: partial 16S ribosomal RNA
Rfam family: Bacterial small subunit ribosomal RNA
Source: RNAcentral